GACGAACGCUGGCGGCGUGCUUAACACAUGCAAGUCGAACGGAAAGGCCCUGCUUUUGUGGGGUGCUCGAGUGGCGAACGAGUGAGUAACACGUGAGUAACCUGCCCUUGACUUUGGGAUAACUUCAGGAAACUGGGGCUAAUACCGGAUAGGAGCUCCUGCUGCAUGGUGGGGGUUGGAAAGUUUCGGCGGUUGGGGAUGGACUCGCGGCUUAUCAGCUUGUUGGUGGGGUAGUGGCUUACCAAGGCUUUGACGGGUAGCCGGCCUGAGAGGGUGACCGGCCACAUUGGGACUGAGAUACGGCCCAGACUCCUACGGGAGGCAGCAGUGGGGAAUAUUGCACAAUGGGCGGAAGCCUGAUGCAGCAACGCCGCGUGCGGGAUGACGGCCUUCGGGUUGUAAACCGCUUUCGCCUGUGACUAAGCGUGAGUGACGGUAAUGGGUAAAGAAGCACCGGCUAACUACGUG
RNAcentral lists this ribosomal RNA (468 nucleotides) under uncultured bacterium. RNAcentral's name for it is "partial 16S ribosomal RNA". It matches the Rfam family "Bacterial small subunit ribosomal RNA", at positions 28 to 507 of the family's 1533-position model. The record is from RNAcentral.